GCUUGGUGGCUCACUGGUAGUGCUCUUGCCUGCCACGCUGGAGGCCUGGGUUCAUUUCCGGCUAAUGCU
This 69-nucleotide transfer RNA is filed under the name Anguilla anguilla (European eel). RNAcentral's name for it is "tRNA-OTHER". The record is from RNAcentral. Lineage: Eukaryota; Metazoa; Chordata; Actinopteri; Anguilliformes; Anguillidae.